ACAAGUUGCUCGUCACCCCCUGGUUAGUUUGCCCAGCCAGCCGGGCUGCGGCAGAUGGUGGCCCAUACGGGGAACCCCGGGACACUCGGGGGUAAGUGACGAAAAAAAAGCUGCCCGUCCACAGAUAGGAUGGGAGCAAAUCUGCUCGUCCCUAGGCAGAUAGGGCUAGAGGAAAAAUGGCCAUUUUGAGAAAAUGGAGAAGAUUGAUACAGUAUGUUUGUGUCUUGUUUUGUCUUGAAAUGUUGUAUUGUCUUUGUGAUGAAAAUAUGGAAGGGGUGAGAAGUAAAUUACUAAGGGAAGGAGGCACCCCAGUGGAACCAAGAAUAGUUAGGACAUGUGUUGAUGGAAGCCCAGGAACUCUAGUCAGAAAGAAGAAAGUUCAGAGGAGGAAGGAUUAUCAGAAAAAAAGUUGCAGCAAAAGGCUAUUACUGAAUACUUUUCGUUACCAGAGGGUGCGUGAAUUGGCGCGGUGGCCGCCACAUGUGCAAGCCGGUCAUGGUGCAGCAAGGAUUUUCCAAGCAGCAGCAGCGGGCUCUUCCCCGCCCCCCACCCAGGGAGCGGGACGCCACUGCAAGAGCCCAAAUCCAAACCUGACCCGGAGGCACAGUCUCGCAAGCUUUUGCUCCCUGUGCCCGGAAGCAGUUUGAGUCCGGGACACUCCCCAGGGCCAUCUGGGGCUUCCCGGAACGCUACAGCUGGCAGAAGAGGCUACUGGCAUCCCUGAUGUUUGGUCAUUUUCAAUGCCAAUAACUCAGCUACAAUUGUUCUCCCACACCUGGAAGCUAAUGAGUAAUGAGCACCAUUAAGGCUUAUUUCAAAUGUAAAAAACCUUGAGAUAAUGUACUAAAUUGUUCAUAAGGUUGUUUUCUUAGCUCCUGCUGGAAUACUACAGGAUUUUCUUUAGCCAUCCGGAGUUCCUACCUUCGUCCCAGUGCCAGUGAAGACGAAGGUGGUAGAAUUUCCAGUGUUGCUGAGAACCAGAUGAGACUUCGGAUCAAGCUAGCUGCCUGCAGAACUUACCUGGACUAUGAUUUACCUGGACUGUGAGUUAAUCUAUUGAGACACUGCUUUACCUGGACUGAGACAACAAACUGUAAUCUACAACAAAUUGUAACUCGGUAUCUUUGCUAAAGGUGUCAUUGCUGGUAUAAUUUUUCCAAGGGCUUCUUGCAUGGAGCCAUCAAUUGGCUUAGUAUUGUGGCAUUUUGUAUCUUCCCCUUCUGCUUUUAGCAGAUUAUUUAUGGUGUUUGUGUAAAAACCACUAUGGUCGUUAUUAAAAUUAAACAAAAGGGGGUAAUGUUAGAGUCUGUAAACAAGUCAGGAUGACUCCUGGCAUUUUGCCAGAGAAAUGUUAGGGUCUAUAAAGAAGUCAAGAUGGCGCCUGGCAAAAUGCCAGAGGGAGUGGUUUGUGAAGUAACACCAGCGAGCCAUUAAGUGUGGAGAUUCCUUAUUGGUUGACUGCUGUAUC
This 1468-nucleotide long non-coding RNA is filed under the name Marmota monax (woodchuck). Lineage: Eukaryota; Metazoa; Chordata; Mammalia; Rodentia; Sciuridae. The record is from RNAcentral.